UUGGGGGAGUUCAACAACCUGGACGUCCUGCUGAGAUCCUGUGGACACUUCCCUUGCUGCUGAAGCCUAAGACUGUCAGUUCAGAAACUGGGGACGCCAGGGAGGCCUUCAGUGAUGGGGAUACGACGUCUGAGGAAAAGUACAAGAUGAAGAAUAGUCUCUCUGGAACGUGAGGAACAGGAUGGAAAAGGCCACAGACACGCCAAGGUGAAACACAGAACUUUGUGAUAAUAUGGAGACAAACCAUGAAACUGUUUUGCAUGACAGAGUCUCGGCAGUUACCCUCAUCACUCACCUGUUGAACCAUUCAUUCUUCAGGAAUAUAUUGAUUGAAUUCAUGACCUUCG
Long non-coding RNA from Camelus dromedarius (Arabian camel), 347 nucleotides. RefSeq lists it as uncharacterized. The record is from RefSeq and is a predicted model, not a curated record. Lineage: Eukaryota; Metazoa; Chordata; Mammalia; Artiodactyla; Camelidae. The transcript has 3 exons.